UGCGGGGUCGUCUAAUGGUAGGACAUCAGCCUUUGGAGCUGAGUAUCUUGGUUCGAGUCCAAGCCCCGCAGCCA
This 74-nucleotide transfer RNA is filed under the name Candidatus Wolfebacteria bacterium. RNAcentral describes it as "tRNA-Gln". It matches the Rfam family "tRNA". From Rfam's summary of the family: Transfer RNA (tRNA) molecules are approximately 80 nucleotides in length. Lineage: Bacteria; Candidatus Wolfeibacteriota. RNAcentral also lists the same sequence under 1 other name. The record is from RNAcentral.